Molecule: long non-coding RNA, 967 nt
Organism: Erinaceus europaeus (western European hedgehog)
Lineage: Eukaryota; Metazoa; Chordata; Mammalia; Eulipotyphla; Erinaceidae
Exons: 4
Source: RefSeq, a predicted model, not a curated record
GCGACUUCCAGACUGCUUCUGAUGGAGGAAAGGCAGUCUGGCGCGUGGACUCACGGCUGCCCUUGGUAGCAUGAAUCUUAUCAGCACAGAGAGAAAACGGCACUGAAAACUCAUUGCAGUUGCAGAGGGGUCGAAGAAGGACAGCAAGCCAUCUUCGGUGGAGAACUGGCGGGAAAUGAAUUUCUUGGCCCCGUGUGGCCUGGCCUUCCCUGGAGACAGCCCAGCCACGGCGAGCGCACUCUCCUCCAAGCAAGGCAGCUCUGUUCCAUGCUAUCACUCGGGGUACCAGGCUUCAGUCUUGUGUCCACAUCAUUUGAAGGACUUGAGGCCACCCACUGGAUUCUCUGCACCCAGCGAACAGGCAAAGGAAGAGGAAGAGAAUGUGAGGCACCAAAAGGGAAGGCUUUAAGGCCAGCACCAACUAAAAGAGGAUUCCCUUACUUCGGCUUACAUCAUGCAUUGGCCAUAACUCAGUCACAAUGCUUCAUAGUACCCUUGGAGUCACAUGGCUACAAAGAAUGCUGGGAAAUGUAGUCCAACUACAUUUGUGUGUCCAGGAAGAAAAGAAAAUGGUGGGCACCUGACACUGUCUCCGUCACAAGAACACUUAGCAAUGAGGUAAAACACAGAGUGGGUCAGUGCAGUGGCCAGUGGUAGUGUGUAAACCAAUUCACCAGACAGAAAUAACAAAAGCAAGAGCUAAGUCAUAAGUAACCUGAUUUUUUUUUCACUUGAAAAAUUCAUCCUGCUUAUUGAGCCAAAGCAUUUUCUCUUUUAGAUGACAAUCAGAUACAGUUAUUAAUGAAUGGAAAUUAGUUUUCCACCUAACACACAGGAUGAAUCUCUGAAAAUAGUCGAGUACAUAAGAUCAGUAGAAGAAAGGAAUCCAUGGUCAUAUUCUCCAGAGCAUACCUGGCUCUGUAUCUAAUCACUUACUCAAGGGGUAUUUAUUAAAUAUGUCAAGCCA